AGGGUUCGAUUCUGGCUCAGGAUGAACGCUAGCGACAGGCUUAACACAUGCAAGUCGAGGGGCAGCAUAAAAGUAGCAAUACGUUGGUGGCGACCGGCGCACGGGUGAGUAACGCGUAUGCAACCUACCUAUCAGAGGGGAAUAACCCGGCGAAAGUCGGACUAAUACCGCAUAAAACAGGGGCACCGCAUGGUGAUAUUUGUUAAAGAAAUUCGCUGAUAGAUGGGCAUGCGUUCCAUUAGGUAGUUGGUGAGGUAACGGCUCACCAAGCCGACGAUGGAUAGGGGAACUGAGAGGUUGGUCCCCCACACUGGUACUGAGACACGGACCAGACUCCUACGGGAGGCAGCAGUGAGGAAUAUUGGUCAAUGGGCGGGAGCCUGAACCAGCCAAGUCGCAUGAAGGAAGAAGGAUCUAUGGUUCGUAAACUUCUUUUGCAGGGGAAUAAAGCGCAGGACGUGUCCUGUUUUGUAUGUACCCUGAGAAUAAGGAUCGGCUAACUCCGUGCCAGCCGCCGC
RNAcentral lists this ribosomal RNA (518 nucleotides) under uncultured bacterium. Its description in RNAcentral is "bacterial SSU rRNA". It matches the Rfam family "Bacterial small subunit ribosomal RNA", at positions 8 to 518 of the family's 1533-position model. The record is from RNAcentral.